GGACCCGCACAAGCGGUGGAACAUGUGGUUUAAUUCGAUGCAACGCGAAGAACCUUACCUGGGCUUGACAUGUUCACGAAAGUUCUGUGAAAACAGAACCCUCUGCGAGCUUGCUCAAAGACGUGAUCACAGGUGAUGCAUGGCUGUCGUCAGCUCGUGUCGUGAGAUGUUGGGUUAAGUCCCGCAACGAGCGCAACCCUUGUCCUUAGUUGCCAGCGGUUCGGCCGGGGACUCUAGAGAAACUGCCAGCGUAAGCUGUGAGGAAGGUGGGGAUGACGUCAAAUCAUCACGGCCCUUACGUCCUGGGCUACACACGUGCUACAAUGGUAGGGACAGAGAGUUGCCAACCCGCGAGGGUGAGCUAAUCUUCAAACCCUAUCUCAGUUCGGAUCGGAGUCUGCAACUCGACUCCGUGAAGUUGGAAUCGCUAGUAAUCGC
RNAcentral lists this ribosomal RNA (438 nucleotides) under uncultured bacterium. RNAcentral describes it as "bacterial SSU rRNA". It matches the Rfam family "Bacterial small subunit ribosomal RNA", at positions 917 to 1345 of the family's 1533-position model. The record is from RNAcentral.